CUCUCUGCCUUCAGGUCGGCGUCGAAUGAACCUGUCGAGCCGAUCUCGUCUGAUGAGCUCCUCGAUCUCAUCCCGGAGCUGAAUGCACUCCUCUAUAUCAUGGCCGUGGUCACGAUGGUAGAGGCAGAACUUGUUAGGAUUGCGCUUCCCAGGGUGUGUGCGCAUCCUUUCCGGCCUUGGCAGCUGCUCCCUGACCUCCAUCAGCACUUGGGUUUUCGAUGCAUUGAGAGGGGCAUAGUUGCGGAACCUUCCUGGUGGAGAACCCCGCCGAACUUUGCGGUCCGGACUUCUCUGCCUGC
RNAcentral lists this long non-coding RNA (299 nucleotides) under Elaeis guineensis (African oil palm). RNAcentral describes it as "long non-coding RNA (EGUI_LNC008031)". Lineage: Eukaryota; Viridiplantae; Streptophyta; Magnoliopsida; Arecales; Arecaceae. The record is from RNAcentral.